Molecule: ribosomal RNA, 484 nt
Filed under: uncultured bacterium
Lineage: Bacteria
Description: partial 16S ribosomal RNA
Rfam family: Bacterial small subunit ribosomal RNA
Source: RNAcentral
AUUGAACGCUGGCGGCAUGCUUUACACAUGCAAGUCGAACGGCAGCGCGGGCUUCGGCCUGGCGGCGAGUGGCGAACGGGUGAGUAAUGCAUCGGAACGUGCCCAGUAGUGGGGGAUAGCCCGGCGAAAGCCGGAUUAAUACCGCAUACGACCUGAGGGUGAAAGCGGGGGACCGAAAGGCCUCGCGCUAUUGGAGCGGCCGAUGGCGGAUUAGCUAGUUGGUGGGGUAAAGGCUUACCAAGGCGACGAUCCGUAGCUGGUCUGAGAGGACGACCAGCCACACUGGGACUGAGACACGGCCCAGACUCCUACGGGAGGCAGCAGUGGGGAAUGUUGGACAAUGGGGGCAAUCCUGAUCCAGCCAUGCCGCGUGCGGGAAGAAGGCCUUCGGGUUGUAAAACGCUUUUGUUCGGGAAGAAAUCCUCUGGGCUAAUACCCCGGGGGGAUGACGGUACCGGAAGAAUAAGCACCGGCUAACUACGUG